GUUGUGAGGUUAAGCGACUAAGCGUACACGGUGGAUGCCCUGGCAGUCAGAGGCGAUGAAGGACGUGCUAAUCUGCGAUAAGCGUCGGUAAGGUGAUAUGAACCGUUAUAACCGGCGAUUUCCGAAUGGGGAAACCCAGUGUGUUUCGACACACUAUCAUUAACUGAAUCCAUAGGUUAAUGAGGCGAACCGGGGGAACUGAAACAUCUAAGUACCCCGAGGAAAAGAAAUCAACCGAGAUUCCCCCAGUAGCGGCGAGCGAACGGGGAGCAGCCCAGAGCCUGAAUCAGUGUGUGUGUUAGUGGAAGCGUCUGGAAAGGCGCGCGAUACAGGGUGACAGCCCCGUACACAAAAAUGCACAUGCUGUGAGCUCGAUGAGUAGGGCGGGACACGUGGUAUCCUGUCUGAAUAUGGGGGGACCAUCCUCCAAGGCUAAAUACUCCUGACUGACCGAUAGUGAACCAGUACCGUGAGGGAAAGGCGAAAAGAACCCCGGCGAGGGGAGUGAAAAAGAACCUGAAACCGUGUACGUACAAGCAGUGGGAGCACGCUUAGGCGUGUGACUGCGUACCUUUUGUAUAAUGGGUCAGCGACUUAUAUUCUGUAGCAAGGUUAACCGAAUAGGGGAGCCGAAGGGAAACCGAGUCUUAACUGGGCGUUAAGUUGCAGGGUAUAGACCCGAAACCCGGUGAUCUAGCCAUGGGCAGGUUGAAGGUUGGGUAACACUAACUGGAGGACCGAACCGACUAAUGUUGAAAAAUUAGCGGAUGACUUGUGGCUGGGGGUGAAAGGCCAAUCAAACCGGGAGAUAGCUGGUUCUCCCCGAAAGCUAUUUAGGUAGCGCCUCGUGAAUUCAUCUCCGGGGGUAGAGCACUGUUUCGGCAAGGGGGUCAUCCCGACUUACCAACCCGAUGCAAACUGCGAAUACCGGAGAAUGUUAUCACGGGAGACACACGGCGGGUGCUAACGUCCGUCGUGAAGAGGGAAACAACCCAGACCGCCAGCUAAGGUCCCAAAGUCAUGGUUAAGUGGGAAACGAUGUGGGAAGGCCCAGACAGCCAGGAUGUUGGCUUAGAAGCAGCCAUCAUUUAAAGAAAGCGUAAUAGCUCACUGGUCGAGUCGGCCUGCGCGGAAGAUGUAACGGGGCUAAACCAUGCACCGAAGCUGCGGCAGCGACGCUUAUGCGUUGUUGGGUAGGGGAGCGUUCUGUAAGCCUGCGAAGGUGUGCUGUGAGGCAUGCUGGAGGUAUCAGAAGUGCGAAUGCUGACAUAAGUAACGAUAAAGCGGGUGAAAAGCCCGCUCGCCGGAAGACCAAGGGUUCCUGUCCAACGUUAAUCGGGGCAGGGUGAGUCGACCCCUAAGGCGAGGCCGAAAGGCGUAGUCGAUGGGAAACAGGUUAAUAUUCCUGUACUUGGUGUUACUGCGAAGGGGGGACGGAGAAGGCUAUGUUGGCCGGGCGACGGUUGUCCCGGUUUAAGCGUGUAGGCUGGUUUUCCAGGCAAAUCCGGAAAAUCAAGGCUGAGGCGUGAUGACGAGGCACUACGGUGCUGAAGCAACAAAUGCCCUGCUUCCAGGAAAAGCCUCUAAGCAUCAGGUAACAUCAAAUCGUACCCCAAACCGACACAGGUGGUCAGGUAGAGAAUACCAAGGCGCUUGAGAGAACUCGGGUGAAGGAACUAGGCAAAAUGGUGCCGUAACUUCGGGAGAAGGCACGCUGAUAUGUAGGUGAGGUCCCUCGCGGAUGGAGCUGAAAUCAGUCGAAGAUACCAGCUGGCUGCAACUGUUUAUUAAAAACACAGCACUGUGCAAACACGAAAGUGGACGUAUACGGUGUGACGCCUGCCCGGUGCCGGAAGGUUAAUUGAUGGGGUUAGCGCAAGCGAAGCUCUUGAUCGAAGCCCCGGUAAACGGCGGCCGUAACUAUAACGGUCCUAAGGUAGCGAAAUUCCUUGUCGGGUAAGUUCCGACCUGCACGAAUGGCGUAAUGAUGGCCAGGCUGUCUCCACCCGAGACUCAGUGAAAUUGAACUCGCUGUGAAGAUGCAGUGUACCCGCGGCAAGACGGAAAGACCCCGUGAACCUUUACUAUAGCUUGACACUGAACAUUGAGCCUUGAUGUGUAGGAUAGGUGGGAGGCUUUGAAGUGUGGACGCCAGUCUGCAUGGAGCCGACCUUGAAAUACCACCCUUUAAUGUUUGAUGUUCUAACGUUGACCCGUAAUCCGGGUUGCGGACAGUGUCUGGUGGGUAGUUUGACUGGGGCGGUCUCCUCCUAAAGAGUAACGGAGGAGCACGAAGGUUGGCUAAUCCUGGUCGGACAUCAGGAGGUUAGUGCAAUGGCAUAAGCCAGCUUGACUGCGAGCGUGACGGCGCGAGCAGGUGCGAAAGCAGGUCAUAGUGAUCCGGUGGUUCUGAAUGGAAGGGCCAUCGCUCAACGGAUAAAAGGUACUCCGGGGAUAACAGGCUGAUACCGCCCAAGAGUUCAUAUCGACGGCGGUGUUUGGCACCUCGAUGUCGGCUCAUCACAUCCUGGGGCUGAAGUAGGUCCCAAGGGUAUGGCUGUUCGCCAUUUAAAGUGGUACGCGAGCUGGGUUUAGAACGUCGUGAGACAGUUCGGUCCCUAUCUGCCGUGGGCGCUGGAGAACUGAGGGGGGCUGCUCCUAGUACGAGAGGACCGGAGUGGACGCAUCACUGGUGUUCGGGUUGUCAUGCCAAUGGCACUGCCCGGUAGCUAAAUGCGGAAGAGAUAAGUGCUGAAAGCAUCUAAGCACGAAACUUGCCCCGAGAUGAGUUCUCCCUGACUCCUUGAGAGUCCUGAAGGAACGUUGAAGACGACGACGUUGAUAGGCCGGGUGUGUAAGCGCAGCGAUGCGUUGAGCUAACCGGUACUAAUGAACCGUGAGGCUUAACCUUACAACGCCGAAGCUGUU
RNAcentral lists this ribosomal RNA (2928 nucleotides) under Escherichia coli O16:H48. Its description in RNAcentral is "23S ribosomal RNA". It matches the Rfam family "Bacterial large subunit ribosomal RNA". Lineage: Bacteria; Pseudomonadati; Pseudomonadota; Gammaproteobacteria; Enterobacterales; Enterobacteriaceae. The record is from RNAcentral.